GGCCCCAUCGUCUAGUGGACCAGGACGGGUGGUUCUCAGCCAUCAGACACGGGUUCGAAUCCCGUUGGGGCUA
Molecule: transfer RNA, 73 nt
Filed under: bacterium
Lineage: Bacteria
Description: tRNA-Glu
Rfam family: tRNA
About the family: Transfer RNA (tRNA) molecules are approximately 80 nucleotides in length.
Source: RNAcentral